Molecule: long non-coding RNA, 1131 nt
Organism: Malaya genurostris
Lineage: Eukaryota; Metazoa; Arthropoda; Insecta; Diptera; Culicidae
Exons: 4
Source: RefSeq, a predicted model, not a curated record
UAUGGUUUGUUUUUUGAUUUCAAUCAUUUCUUUCAAUUUCUGAGCUGAGAUGGUUAAGCUUGAGCUUGAGCAACCACCUCUGGUUGCUACUACUCAGAACAUUAAGAAUUUCGCGUAAUUUAUAUUGGCCGAGCUCGCUUUCUGGGAAGGUGUCGAGAAUGAUUUCGGACACAUACCAGACAGAAUCAAGACAAUACUCAAUUUACUAGGCUAUACAGGUAACUUGAGUAUAGCAUCAUUAAAGGCACAUAUGCUGGAUGACAUUGAAAAGGAUUUGCUGCAGCUUCCAGCCUCCAUUUUGUUCGGCGACGCCAUACACUAGAGUACAAAACAUUUGAUAACAGAUACACUAAGGAUCAUGAAGAUUUUGAGCACAAUAUUCAGUUCUCCAAUAAAUGCUGGAAAAAUUGUCACUGAUUCGCCAUUGCUGGAGCUGUACUCAAGUCUACAGCGAUCAAAGAUAUAUCGUUCUAAAGGUAUGCGUUAUUCAACGUUUGAAAAGGAUUUGCUAGCAUAUGAGUUCAGGAAAACUGGAAACAGUUUUUACAAAUACCGAGCAUCAAAUAAGCAUUCCGCAAGCCAUUCAGUUUUGCACAAACACAUUAGGAAUAAUACAACCGAUACAACAGAAUGAAUGCUAUUAAUUGAGCCGCUUCGAAAAUAUCUACAGUCUCAGGGUUUACCUUUUGUGGUAAGCCUAAGCAAAGAUGCAACUAGUAUUGUUCCAAAACCAGGAUAUGAUCUUCGUACAGAUUCUCUCUCCGGUUUGGUGCCGCUUUUUGAUAAUAAUGGUAUGCCCAUAAUGAAUCAAUUUCGAAUGAAGUCUGCGCAGCACAUGUUACACGUUUUGAAAAACUGCUGUAGGAACACUGACAUAUGAUUCUCGCUACUCCUAUGCAGCUUAAUGCAGCUCCAUUUUGUAUUUGAUACGCCUGUGCGGAUACUAAUUUCGAUCAUGAAGUGGUUCUUAAACGAUGGAAGUAUGUUGAAAAUAAAUUAAUGGAAGUUGGAAUUAAGGUUAUAAGCAACUGUUCUGACGGUGAUCCUAAGUUUUUGAAGGCGAUGAUUAAACGUACUAAUUCAAGUGAACCCAAGCCAAAUAUGCGAUGAGGAUAUUGGUUUCGAAUAGCG